Molecule: ribosomal RNA, 389 nt
Filed under: uncultured bacterium
Lineage: Bacteria
Description: bacterial SSU rRNA
Rfam family: Bacterial small subunit ribosomal RNA
Source: RNAcentral
GACGAACGCUGGCGGCGUGCUUAACACAUGCAAGUCGAGCGGUAAGGCCCUUUCGGGGGUACACGAGCGGCGAACGGGUGAGUAACACGUGGGUGACCUGCCCUCAGCUCUGGGAUAAGCCUGGGAAACCGGGUCUAAUACCGGAUAUGACUCCAUGACGCAUGUUGUGGGGUGGAAAGCCUUGUGCGGCUGAGGAUGGGCCCGCGGCCUAUCAGCUUGUUGGUGGGGUGAUGGCCCACCAAGGCUAUGACGGGUAGCUGGUCUGAGAGGACGACCAGCCACACGGGGACUGAGACACGGCCCCGACUCCUACGGGAGGCAGCAGUGGGGAAUUUUCCGCAAUGGGCGAAAGCCUGACGGAGUGACGCCGCGUGUGGGACGAAGGCCUU